This is a small nucleolar RNA of Suncus etruscus (white-toothed pygmy shrew), 133 nucleotides long. RefSeq annotates it as small nucleolar RNA SNORA13. The record is from RefSeq and is a predicted model, not a curated record. NCBI's taxonomy places the organism in Eukaryota, Metazoa, Chordata, Mammalia, Eulipotyphla, Soricidae. The transcript has a single exon.
CGCCUCUGUGUUGCCCAUCUGCCUUGCAACUGGCAGACGAGGUGUCAAUUGAGGCAGAUAGAAAAGCCCUGGGCAGGUCCGCCUGCCUGAGGCUCUCCGGAGGCCUCGGGCUGGGAACUUCCCCGGAACAGGC